Molecule: ribosomal RNA, 253 nt
Filed under: uncultured bacterium
Lineage: Bacteria
Description: partial 16S ribosomal RNA
Rfam family: Bacterial small subunit ribosomal RNA
Source: RNAcentral
GACGAACCGUGCAAACGUUGUUCGGAAUCACUGGGCUUAAAGGGCGCGUAGGCGGGCCAUCAAGUCAGGGGUGAAAUCCUCCAGCUUAACUGGAGAACAGCCUCUGAUACUGGUGGUCUCGAGUGAGGUAGGGGCAUGCGGAACUGAUGGUGGAGCGGUGAAAUGUAUUGAUAUCAUCAGGAACUCCGGUGGCGAAAGCGGCGUGCUGGACCUCUACUGACGCUGAGGCGCGAAAGCCAGGGGAGCGAACGGG